AGGGUGCGCCGCGCUGCAUGCGCAGCCGCGUUAAAGAGCCGGCUCUGCGAGCGCUGGGCGGACGCAGGAAGCCCCUCCAUUUUGGCCAGAAUGGAGCAGUCAGAGGGAGUCAAUUGGACUGUCAUUAUCCUGACAUGCCAGUACAAGGACAGUGUCCAGGUCUUUCAGAGAGAGCUGGAGGUAAGGCAGAGACGGGAGCAGAUUCCUGCGGGGACGAUGUUACUGGCUGUGGAGGAUCCCCAGACUCGAGUCGGCAGCGGAGGAGCCACCCUCAACGCACUGCUGGUGGCUGCUGAACACUUGAGUGCCCGAGCUGGCUUCACUGUGGUCACGUCCGAUGUCCUGCACUCUGCCUGGAUCCUCAUCUUGCACAUGGGCCGAGACUUCCCCUUCGAUGACUGUGGCAGGGCCUUCACUUGCCUCCCUGUGGAGAACCCACAGGCCCCUGUGGAGGCCUUGGUAUGCAACCUGGACUGCCUGUUGGAUAUCAUGACCCACCGGCUGGGUCCAGGUUCCCCACCAGGUGUGUGGGUCUGCAGCACCGACAUGCUUCUGUCUGUUCCUCCAAACCCUGGGAUCAGUUGGGAUGGCUUCCGGGGAGCCAGAGUGAUCGCCUUUCCUGGGAGCCUGGCCUAUGCGUUGAACCACGGUGUCUACCUCACUGACUCACAGGGCUUGGUUUUGGACAUUUACUACCAGGGCACUAAGGCGGAGAUACAACGUUGUGUCGGACCUGAUGGGCUGGUACCAUUGGUCUCCGGGGUCGUCUUCUUCUCUGUGGAGACUGCUGAGCACCUCCUAGCCACCCAUGUGAGCCCACCGCUGGAUGCCUGCACCUAUAUGGGCUUGGACUCUGGAGCCCAGCCUGUGCAGCUGUCUCUGUUUUUCGACAUCCUGCUCUGCAUGGCUCGGAAUAUGAGCAGGGAGAACUUCCUGGCUGGGCGGCCCCCGGAGUUGGGGCAAGGUGACAUGGAUGUAGCAAGUUACCUGAAGGGAGCCCGGGCCCAGCUGUGGAGGGAGCUUCGAGAUCAGCCCCUCACAAUGGUGUAUGUCCCUGACGGCGGCUACAGCUACAUGACGACUGAUGCCACCGAGUUCCUGCACAGACUCACGAUGCCUGGAGUAGCUGUGGCACAGAUUGUUCACUCCCAGGUGGAGGAGCCACAGCUGCUAGAGGCUACGUGCUCGGUGGUCAGCUGCCUGCUCGAGGGCCCUGUGCACCUGGGGCCUCGAAGUGUCCUGCAGCACUGUCACCUGAGGGGCCCCAUUCGCAUCGGCGCUGGCUGCUUUGUGAGUGGUCUGGAUACAGCCCACUCGGAGGCACUGCAUGGCCUGGAGCUCCAUGAUGUCAUCCUGCAGGGACACCAUGUGCGGCUGCAUGGCUCCCUGAGCCGUGUAUUUACUCUUGCUGGCCGUCUGGACAGCUGGGAAUCCCCUUUGGAGCAUCUGUUCCCCAGUCUCUCGCCUGGUGUCCCCUAGUCCCUUUCAAAGGCCCCUGCAUUCCUGACUGCUUCUUCCUCUUCCCCCAGAGACAGGGGGCAGGCAUGUAUCUCAACAUGUCCUGGAAUGAGUUCUUCAAGAAGACAGGCAUUCGAGACUGGGACCUGUGGGACCCAGAUACACCCCCCUCAGAUCGAUGCCUCCUCACUGCCCGCCUUUUCCCUGUGCUCCACCCCACGAGGGCCCUGGGGCCCCAGGAUGUGCUGUGGAUGCUGCACCCCCGCAAACACAGAGGUGAGGCCCUUCGGGCCUGGCGAGCCUCCUGGCGUCUGUCCUGGGAGCAGCUGCAACCUUGUGUGGACCGGGCUGCCACACUGGACUUCCGCCGAGAUCUGUUCUUCUGCCAGGCCUUGCAGAAGGCAAGGCAUGUGUUAGAGGCGCGGCAGGACCUCUGCCUACGUCCACUGAUCCGGGCCGCUGUCGGGGAAGGUUGCUCUGGGCCCCUGCUGGCCACACUUGACAAGGUUGCAGCUGGGGCAGAAGAUCCUGGCGUGGCAGCCCGGGCUCUGGCUUGUGUGGCCGAUGUGCUGGGCUGCAUGGCAGAGGGCCGAGGAGGCUUGCGCAGUGGGCCAGCUGCCAACCCUGAGUGGAUUCAGCCUUUCUCAUACUUGGAGUGUGGAGACCUGAUGAGGGGUGUGGAGGCGCUUGCCCAGGAGAGAGAGAAGUGGCUGACCAGGCCUGCCUUGCUGGUUCGAGCUGCCCGCCAUUACGAGGGGGCCGAGCAGAUCCUGAUCCGCCAGGCUGUGAUGACAGCCCGGCACUUCGUCUCCACCCAGCCCGUGGAGCUGCCCGCACCCGGGCAGUGGGUGGUGACUGAGUGCCCAGCCCGUGUGGAUUUCUCUGGGGGCUGGAGUGACACACCGCCCAUUGCCUAUGAGCUUGGUGGAGCAGUGUUGGGCCUGGCUGUGCGGGUGGAUGGCCGCCGGCCCAUCGGGGCCAAAGCACGCCGCAUCCCGGAGCCUGAGCUCUGGCUGGCAGUGGGACCUCGGCAGGAUGAGAUGACCAUGAGGAUAGUGUGCCGGAGCCUGGAUGACCUGCGGGAUUACUGCCAGCCUCAUGCCCCAGGGGCCUUGCUGAAGGCAGCCUUUAUCUGUGCUGGCAUUGUGCAUCUCCACUCAGAGCUCCCUCUGCUUGAACAGUUGUUACACUCCUUUAAUGGUGGCUUUGAGCUGCACACGUGGUCAGAGCUGCCGCACGGCUCUGGUCUUGGCACCAGCAGCAUCCUGGCAGGGGCUGCCCUGGCUGCCUUACAGCGGGCUGCAGGCCGGGCAGUGGGCACGGAGGCUCUCAUCCACGCAGUGCUGCACCUGGAGCAGGUGCUCACCACAGGAGGUGGCUGGCAGGACCAAGUCAGUGGCCUAAUGCCUGGCAUCAAAGUGGGGCGCUCCCGGGCCCAGCUGCCCCUCAAGGUGGAGGUGGAGGAAAUCACUGUGCCUGAGGGCUUUGUCCAGAAGAUCAAUGACCAUCUGCUCCUGGUUUAUACCGGCAAGACCCGAUUGGCCCGGAAUCUGCUGCAGGACGUGCUGAGGAACUGGUACGCUCGGUUGCCCGUUGUGGUACAGAAUGCCCGCAGACUGGUGCGACAGACCGAGAAGUGCGCUGAAGCUUUCCGCCAAGGAAACCUGCCUCUGCUGGGACAGUACCUGACCUCAUACUGGGAGCAGAAGAAGCUUAUGGCCCCAGGCUGCGAGCCGCUGGCCGUGCAGCGAAUGAUGGAUGUCCUGGCCCCGUAUGCGUAUGGCCAAAGCCUGGCAGGGGCAGGUGGUGGGGGCUUUCUCUAUCUAUUGACCAAGGAACCCCGGCAGAAAGAGACUCUGGAAGCUGUCCUGGCCAAGGCUGAGGGCCUUGGCAACUACAGUGUCCACCUGGUGGAAGUGGAUCCUCAGGGCCUGAGCCUGCAGCUGCUGGGACACGACACCCGUCUUUGUGGGGCCGGGCCCUCUGAAGUGGGCACCACCUAGAGCUGCAGCUGCGCGUCCCUUCAGUGGGGCUCACUUUGUUAUCCCUUACCUACCUCUUCAAGUCUGCUGCUAAGGAAGGAAGCAAGACUUGGACAGAAGAGGCAGUGUUUGCAAACAGUACUGUGCUUCAUGGUGGGCAGUGGCUGAGACUUGGCCUCUAUCUCAUCUGGAUUAAGGGAGGUCUUAGUCACAGUGUCUCAUGUGCACUCUACAAAUUCCAUGGCCCAGUGUAGGCCUCCUAGGGCCCUGCAAAGGAUGACAAUCAGACCAACUCUAAAGAUAGACUUUCAGGCAUUCCCAUACCAACUCUGAUUCUACAGCAGGGGCCAGGGAAGAGUGAAGGUGUGUUCUCAGGUCUGUGGUAGUGAACCACUCUCUGCCACAGUCUACAGCAAGCUUUUGAUAACCUAAGCCUUUCUAACAACACUACAGUGUCAAAGGAACCUGGGGGUAGUGGGUUCUCAACACCCGCAUCCUUGGAAUAAAUUCUAAUUUUCAAGUUUGUCUUCAG
Mus musculus (house mouse) is the source of this 3972-nucleotide RNA transcript. It is a transcript of the gene named fucose kinase, with no coding region annotated. NCBI's taxonomy places the organism in Eukaryota, Metazoa, Chordata, Mammalia, Rodentia, Muridae. The transcript is spliced from 24 exons. The record is from RefSeq and is marked validated.